UGGGGGGUGGCAAAAGGCAUGCAAGUCGAGCGAUUCCCGCAAGGGAAUAGCGGCAAACGGGUGAGUAACACGUACGUAACCUACCCUGUGGCGUGGGAUAACCUGACGAAAGACAGGCUAAUACCACAUGUGCUUUCGGGUGCGCAUGCACCUGAAAGGAAAGAUGGCCUCGACCGAAAGGUUGCUAUCACCAAAGGAGGGACCUGCGUCCCAUCAUCUAUUUGGUAGGGUAACGGCCUACCAAGGCUUUUGACGGGUAGCUAGCCUUAAAGGGCGGUUAGCCACACUGGGACUGAAACACUGCCCGGACUCCUACGGGAGGCUGCAGUCAAGAAUAUUUGGCAAUGGACGAAAGUCUGACCAUGCGACGCCGCGUGUAGGAUGAAGGCCUUCGGGUCGUAAACUACUGUUGCGAGGGACGAAGGUUCUGGUUGCAAACAGCGAUCAGAAUUUGACGGUACCUCGAUAGAAAGCCACGGCUAACUCCGUGCCACCAGCCGCGGUAAUACGGAGGUGGCAAGCGUUACUCGGAUUUACUGGGUGUAAAGGGCACGUAGGCGGUCCGAUAAGCCCCGUUUGAAUGCCUGGGCUCAACCUGGGCACGUGGCGGGGGACUGACGGACUUGAGGACGCGAGAGGUAGGCGGAAUUCCCGGUGUAAGGGUGAUAUCUGUAGAGAUCGGGAGGAACACCAGUGGCGAAAGCGGCCUACUGGCGCGUUUCUGACGCUGAGGUGCGAAAGCUAGGAGAGCAAACAGGAUUAGACACCCUGGUAGUCCUAGCCGUAAACGAUGGACACUAGGUGUCGGCUCCAUUAGGGGUCGGUGCCGCAGCUAACGCGUUAAGUGUCCCACCUGAGGAGUACGGCCGCAAGGUUGAAACUCAAAGGAAUUGACGGGGGCCAGCACAAGCGGUGGAACAUGUGGUUCAAUUCGAUGCUACGCGAAGAACCUUACCCAGGCUUGACAUGCAAGGAGUAGGCUCCCGAAAAGGAGGGGUGCUCUUCGGAGAAUCCCGAGACAGGUGCUGCAUGGCUGUCGUCAGCUCGUGCCGUGAGGUGUUGGCUUAAGUGCCACAACGAGCGCAACCAUUACUGAUAGUUGCCACCAGGGGCCGCAAGGCCUGCUGAGCACUCUUUCGGGACUGCCAGCGACGAGCUGGAAGGAACG
RNAcentral lists this ribosomal RNA (1168 nucleotides) under uncultured Desulfovibrio sp. RNAcentral describes it as "bacterial SSU rRNA". It matches the Rfam family "Bacterial small subunit ribosomal RNA", at positions 37 to 1174 of the family's 1533-position model. Lineage: Bacteria; Pseudomonadati; Thermodesulfobacteriota; Desulfovibrionia; Desulfovibrionales; Desulfovibrionaceae. The record is from RNAcentral.